Molecule: long non-coding RNA, 335 nt
Organism: Photinus pyralis (common eastern firefly)
Lineage: Eukaryota; Metazoa; Arthropoda; Insecta; Coleoptera; Lampyridae
Exons: 2
Source: RefSeq, a predicted model, not a curated record
AAAUGCAGCAAUGCAAGUUAGCUAAUUAUUGAACAGUCAGCCACCAUGCAGUUCUUGAUCUUCGUUCUUGCCUUGGUUGCAGUUUUAUUCUCCUCAGCAAUUGCGCAAACGCCGUGCGGAGGACUGUUUGCAUGCAUGGAUGGCUGCGCGCUUAUCGGAAGCAAUUCUUAUGGAGCGUGUCCCUUUGGAAAGGUUUGCUGUCCCUUGGGAUUAGGGAAGUAGGAGACAAUGGACCUUCAACCUUCAAUUAUUUAAAAGUCACACGAUGAUAAUACAAUCAAUGCAAAAUGACUGUUUGAACUCAACCGCAUAAAGAAUAAAAUGGAUUUUCCAAA